UACGUAGGGGGCAAGCGUUGUCCGGAAUCAUUGGGCGUAAAGCGCGUGUAGGCGGCCCGGUAAGUCCGCUGUGAAAGUCGGGGGCUCAACCCUCGAAUGCCGGUGGAUACUGUCGGGCUAGAGUGCGGAAGAGGCGAGUGGAAUUCCCGGUGUAGCGGUGAAAUGCGCAGAUAUCGGGAGGAACACCAAUUGCGAAGGCAGCUCGCUGGGACGUCACUGACGCUGAGACGCGAAAGCGUGGGGAGCAAACAGG
RNAcentral lists this ribosomal RNA (253 nucleotides) under uncultured bacterium. RNAcentral describes it as "partial 16S ribosomal RNA". It matches the Rfam family "Bacterial small subunit ribosomal RNA", at positions 524 to 776 of the family's 1533-position model. The record is from RNAcentral.